MicroRNA precursor from Oryza sativa Indica Group (long-grained rice), 194 nucleotides. It matches the Rfam family "MIR812 microRNA precursor family". The record is from Rfam. NCBI's taxonomy places the organism in Eukaryota, Viridiplantae, Streptophyta, Magnoliopsida, Poales, Poaceae.
AAAAAAACAAAUUGUGGGUUUCCAUUUCAACGUUUGACUGUCCGUCUUAUAUGAUUUAUUUUAUAAUUAGUAUUUUUAUUGUUGUUAGAUGAUAAAACAUGAUUAAUAUUUUAUGCGUGGCUUGUCUUUUUAAUUUUUUUCAAAUAAGACGGACGGUCAAACGUUGGACACAAAAAUUAAGGUUUGUCUUUUUC